ACCUUUGGCGAUAUGUGGAGCG
RNAcentral lists this microRNA (22 nucleotides) under Pristionchus pacificus. Its description in RNAcentral is "ppc-miR-8295-3p". The record is from miRBase by way of RNAcentral. Lineage: Eukaryota; Metazoa; Nematoda; Chromadorea; Rhabditida; Neodiplogasteridae.